UGGUGCCCAGGAGGUUGAGACUGCAGUGAGCCAUGAUCGCACCGCUGCACUCCAGCCUAGACGAAGAGCCAGAUCCUGUCACAACAACAAAGAAAGUAUAACCAGUGGAUAUAGCAGUAUUAAGGUAGUAAAAUAUGCUUUUUUUAAAAAAAAAAAAAAGGUGUAUUCAAAUAGAAGAGAGUAAAAUUGAGUAACAUUCUGGUAUGUAUAUAACAAAAACUGUGAUAACUCAAAUAUUGCAAAAAAUUUUUGAAGUUUAAAGGGGAUCAGUGGCAAUUGUUGCAACCCGAUCUAACCCAUUCUCUCUGCAGAGAUAUCUUGGAAGGUAAGCCUAUUUGUCAAUUAUUAAUUCAGUCAUUUGCUCAGCCACUCACAGAGGCACUCAGGAUUUUUUUUUUUUUUUUUUUUUUUCGGCAUCUGCUAUGUGCCAUGCUCUCUGCUAGUGAACAGAGCACAGAGUCAUGAAAACUAAAAUGUAAAUACCCCCAGUGCCUUCUUAACAUUAUGCAUUCUUUCAACAAAUAGUAAUGGAAGGCAUGCAAGGCACCGGGGGAUAAAAUGAUAAAGACAGACAGAGGCGCAGCUCUCCUGCCCUCCUGGACACUAUUGCUUCCUAGGAGAGCUGACCAUGAGUCAAGUGGUCACAUAGAUAAAUAUGAAAUGAACACUGGUCAUCAUCUGCGUCUUAUGAGUGCGCAUCAUCAGAGGUGUCCACGCAAUCUACAAUGAAGUCUGGAGGGUUUCCUUGGAGUCUGAGGGGCGCUGGAGGUGAGACCUGGAGGACUAAGGGGCCAGAUCCUAAAAUCCACUUCAGAGCAUCAGUGCUAAAAGCAUGUUACCUGGUCUAGCGACCUCAACAUCACGGACCCACUUCACAGCCAAAGAGUAUUGUUUUAAUGGCAAAAAAUCUGAUAUUCUUAUAAAUAGGUUUAAUAAAUUAUGUUACAUCAAGACUCUGAAAUAUCAUGCAGGCAUCAAAAAGAAUGAAUAAGAACAAAGUUGGCAAUCUUUUCUGUUUUGGACCAGAUAGUAAAUGGCUUUGCAGGCCACAUCAUCGCCAACUACUCAACUCUGCUGUUUCACUGUGAACAACAACCCAUAAAUGAACAGGGAGGAUGUAACUGUGUUCCAAUAAAAUUUAAAUUACAAAAACAGUCACAGGCCAGACUUCGCCCCUGGGCUGUAUUUUGUCAACCUCUGAAUUACAACUGUACUACAAGACUUCAAACUAUUUCCAUUAGAUGUUUACUAUUGAAUGGAAAAACUAGGGGUUAGUUGUGUGAUGUGAUCACAAUUUUGUACAAAAAACAAUUGCAUCACGACACCCAUCUUUUGUAUGUAUCUGUGUGUGUAUGUGUCUAUGUAUAUAUGUAGAUGUGCAUAUCUGUACAGGAUUAUAUGGGUACACAGGAAAACACGGAAAGGUACUUCCGUGUGAACUUCUUAACUAGGUUUAGGAAUUGCUAAUAAAGAGACAGGAGGGGAAAAAGAUGCAUGUAAACAAAUUAUAAAAAGAAAAAAUAGAGCACUAAUCAUCAUCUAUAUGAUCAUAAUUUUGCAGUUAGUUAAAUUUUACAGACAUGUGUUUAUGUAAAAAUAAAUUAAAUAAGAUUCAAAAACCAGUCUCUAUCUCCAAGGAUAGUUGUGAAAAUUGAACGAAAUAAAGCAUGCAGACUCUCAGCAAAGAGCCAGAUGGAGCCGCUCAUUCCAACUCUAAUUAUCCCUCAAUUAGAAGAAGCCUCCUAACUGGGUUUUCUGCUCACAUGCUUCCUACCUAAAAACCUCCGCCCUUUCCCUCACCCCUUUCAAUUCUGCACUCAGUAUUCUUCGGCUCAUUCAUUCCCUCAUUCCAUCCAUUUAUAUACUCUGGGCACCAUUUAUAAGCCACACACUGUGCUAGGGACUGGAAACUUAAAAUAAAUAAAACGUUCACACUUUCUCCGUCCCCCAGGAUUUUAGAGUGUCUGGUCAGAGAGCUCGUUGAAAGCCAGGUUUUGGAUAUAUCAUUGUCUGCCUCCACAACGGUGCUCCUUCCUCUAAGAGAAGACCGUCCUUGCAGCAGAGUUCUCCUUCCUGAAGGCAGAGAUUUCUUGUAUAUGCUCAUAUACGUCGUGCCCACCAGGAUUCCUGGCAUACAGUAGGCAUUUAAUAAAAAGGGAUUGGAUAAUUGAAUUAUGGAUGGAUGAAUUGAUUGAAGAAAUGAAUGAAUCAUUUGUGUGAAUGGGAAUUCCCUAUAAUCUGCCUUCCCUUGCUUCUCCCACGACAAGUCAGUAAUAGUAACAGCUCAGGUUGCUGCUGUAUGUAAUAGGUACCAGGGGCUGUGCCAAGAAGCCACCUGCCUUAUCUCACCUGGCAAGGUGUGAACUAAUAUAAUCCACACUUUGUGGAAGGGAGAACCAGUCCUAAGGGUGGUAAAGUUAGUAGCUGCAGGACCCUGAGCUGGUAAAGAUGUCCAGCCAGGAUCUAGGACCUGGCCUCUUACUCCAGAGCUACGGUUCAUAACACAAUCCUACGUAUUUCUCAUAGAAAGUACUGAGAGUAUUCUACAGAUCCUAAAGGAUGGACUCAAAUCUACUCUGUUCCAAAUGCUAAAAGGCACCUUAAUUGUAUUUCCAAAGCUUAAAGAAAUGGCAACUGGCCAAACAUCCAGGCUGCAAGGAGAUGAGAC
This is a non-coding RNA of Chlorocebus sabaeus (green monkey), 2668 nucleotides long. The record is from RefSeq and is a predicted model, not a curated record. NCBI's taxonomy places the organism in Eukaryota, Metazoa, Chordata, Mammalia, Primates, Cercopithecidae.